This 460-nucleotide ribosomal RNA is filed under the name uncultured bacterium. RNAcentral's name for it is "partial 16S ribosomal RNA". It matches the Rfam family "Bacterial small subunit ribosomal RNA", at positions 338 to 795 of the family's 1533-position model. The record is from RNAcentral.
CCUACGGGUGGCAGCAGUGAGGAAUAUUGGUCAAUGGACGAGAGUCUGAACCAGCCAAGUAGCGUGAAGGAUGACUGCCCUAUGGGUUGUAAACUUCUUUUAUAUGGGAAUAAAAUGUUCCACGUGUGGGAUUUUGUCUGUACCAUAUGAAUAAGGAUCGGCUAACUCCGUGCCAGCAGCCGCGGUAAUACGGAGGAUCCGCGCGUUAUCCGGAUUUAUUGGGUUUAAAGGGAGCGUAGGUGGAUUGUUAAGUCAGUUGUGAAAGUUUGCGGUUCAACCGUAAAAUUGCAGUUGAAACUGGCAGUCUUGAGUACAGUAGAGGUGGGCGGAAUUCGUGGUGUAGCGGUGAAAUGCUUAGAUAUCACGAAGAACUCCGAUUGCGAAGGCAGUUCACUGGACUGCAACUGACACUGAGGCUCGAAAGUGUGGGUAUCAAACAGGAUUAGAUACCCCGGUAGUC